Molecule: long non-coding RNA, 2424 nt
Filed under: Portunus trituberculatus (swimming crab)
Lineage: Eukaryota; Metazoa; Arthropoda; Malacostraca; Decapoda; Portunidae
Description: uncharacterized LOC123510294
Source: RNAcentral
UAUAUAUAUAUAUAUAUAUAUAUAUAUAUAUAUAUAUAUAUAUAUAUAUAUAUAUAUAUACCAUGUUUGUGUGUGUUUGUGAGUGGUGGUGUUUGUCUGUGUAAGGAGGGAUGAGUGGCUGAGUUGCAGGUGUUCCCAGGGUGUUGGUGAGUGCAGUGAGGGUUUGUGUUUUCCCCACAGGAUGUGCUGCACCGGUGGGAGGCGUCAAGAGAAGCACCUCUUUGUAUCCCCGCCCACCACUUGAUUGAACACAUGAAGGUGCUCCAGAGUUUCAAGAAUGGAGUGGCACACAUGUAAUACUCCAAGGUUUGGAGGUCCAGCGGCACACUGCGCACUGCCUUCAUAAACGUGUGUGCAGAGUGCAAGACAGAGUGGCAAGGAUGGAGGAUGCUGCAACAUUCACAGCAUCAUUGCUUCACAGUUUGAACUGAAGGAUUAUGUCAUCAUUCAUAUUUAUAGAUUUCAUUACCUAACACUGUGUUGACCUUUAUGUAUCAAAUCACUUCAUUACAUGUAAGUGUAUACUAUUUAGCUGCAAGGAGUAGCGGUUUAUGAGAUUUGUAAUGUAUUAAAAGUGACUUAUAAGAGAUCUUGCAUUAUGAAGAUUUGUUGAAAGGUGUUUGUUUAUUAGCAUGAUCUAGUUGUGUCAGUCUUUACAGUCCAGACUGUACAGACAUGAACCAUUGGCCAUUGCACUUCCUGCAGAUGGAAUUUCAGUCAAUGCUUUAAGUGUGUGUGUGUGUGUGUGUGCAGCUUUGUGGGCAAGUGUGCCAGUCAUUCCUUGAUGUCAAUGACUUUCAUUUAGGAAAAAAAUGUUUUGUAUGAUUAGGUUUAUAUACAUUUUUGAGUGAGAAUGUUAGGACUAAUUAAAAAGUAAGUUUCUCAACUUUGUAGAGCUUUGCUGUUGUUGUUCUGUGUGAGAUUUCAGGGGUCGCAUUCUACAAACCUUAUGAUGUGAUGGUAGCAAGAUAAAAUGGUGUAUUUUAGACAUAAGUCCCUCUGUGACAGGCUCUAACCUUGUGACUUGUCAUAAGUGCCAAAAAUGACAAAUGGUACAAUUUAGACACAAAUCCCUCAAUGACAGACUCUAACUUUGUGACUGUCAUGAGUGCCAAGACAGGGUUCAAUUCAACCACCAUCUUAAAACUCUCGUCAGCAUGGUGGGAGCUUGGCUGUAUGUACCAUAGCAUGAUCCCGACAGUUUUUAAUAUUAAUGAUGAAUAUCCGUAAUGAUGAGAAAAUAAUGUCCUCCUUUCAUGCAGUAAUUUACCAUUAUAGAUAACUGCCAAGAGGAAUACAAUCAGUUUUCCCUAAACUCAAACAAACCUUGCCCUGUGUGGCCUGCAUGUGUCAUGUGUUGGGCGUAAUCUUCUGUUUGCCAUGUUUCUUUUGUUUGGAUACACAGUCUAACUAUUCCCAAAGUAGUAAUAAGAUGUCAAAAUAAUCCAAGUUGUAGAAAUUUAUGUCAAGGAACUAUUGCUUUCUACACAUAUAUAAAACUGACAAGUUGUGAACCCAAAAACCAACAGUGGAGUGACGGUCAGGCAUUCAGUGAGACCUGAGGCUGACUGUGUAGAAUGCGGCCCCAGAAUGAUGGUCUGUGUUUUGUGUAUUUAUGGUGACAAUGUAGUGUUGCAAGGGACAACAUGCUGUUUGAGAGCAAUGCCAGUGUGAAACUGAAAUCCUUAAAGAAUCAUUGUACAGAGUUGAUAGUUCCUCACAGACUUUUGCAAUGAAGAUAGACUCAAGAUACUUUUAGAAUUUGUAGUUUCCAACAGACUUGUGCAAUGAAAAGGCUUUCAAAAUGCUACUCUUUAUGUUCUUAUUUUUUUUUUCUUAGCUGACAAAUGUAUGGAUGGCAAUGACAGGUGGAAUGAGGUAGACCUGUUCAUACAGGGAAUGCUGCCAUGUAUGUGGAGGUCUCAUGGCUCCUUUUUGCAACUUUCCUCUUUUUUAUUUUUUAAUAAUCUUGUAAGUUGAAAAUAUUCCUAGAGUAAUUGCAAUACUUGUGAAAAAUUGUCCCAAGUUGGAAAUUGCAAAAGUUCUGCUGUAAAAAUUUUCUAAGGUGAAUAUUGUAAAAAUUUUCUAAAUUUUUUUUUGUAAAAAUUUUCUAAGAUUUUUUUUAAAUUGAAAAUUUUCUAAGAAAAAAUUUUUUAAGUUGAAAAAUUUGGUAGAGUUUUUUCUUUUUACUUGUAUAAGUUUUCCAAGUUUAUGUAAAAAAAAAUUAGUUUUUUGACUUGUACGAUGUAAACAGAAUUUGCAUCGUAAACAUAGAAUUUGCUUUUUCUUCUAAGUUGAAAAUUUUGGUGGAGUUUUUUGACAAAUGUGUGAGUAUGAUAGGUAAAAAUUUUAUAAGUUGAAAAUUUUGGUAGAGUUUUUUUGACUUGUAUGAAAAUGUGUGAAUUGAAUAAAAGUAAAGGAAGG